RNAcentral lists this ribosomal RNA (253 nucleotides) under uncultured bacterium. RNAcentral describes it as "partial 16S ribosomal RNA". It matches the Rfam family "Bacterial small subunit ribosomal RNA", at positions 524 to 776 of the family's 1533-position model. The record is from RNAcentral.
UACGAAGGUGGCAAGCGUUACUCGGAAUUACUAGGCGUAAAGGGCAGGUAGGCGGUUUGGUUAGUCUGUUGUGAAAGCUCCCGGCUUAACCGGGAGAGGUCAACAGAUACUGCCAGGCUUGAGUAUGGGAGAGGGUACUGGAAUUCCUGGUGUAGCGGUGAAAUGCGCAGAUAUCAGGAGGAACACCGAUGGCGAAAGCAGGUACCUGGACCAUUACUGACGCUGAGGAGCGAAAGCCAGGGGAGCAAACGGG